RNAcentral lists this ribosomal RNA (450 nucleotides) under uncultured bacterium. RNAcentral describes it as "bacterial SSU rRNA". It matches the Rfam family "Bacterial small subunit ribosomal RNA", at positions 354 to 796 of the family's 1533-position model. The record is from RNAcentral.
GUAGGGAAUCUUCCGCAAUGGACGAAAGUCUGACGGAGCAACGCCGCGUGAGUGAAGAAGGUUUUCGGAUCGUAAAACUCUGUUGUUAGAGAAGAACAAGGAUGAGAGUAACUGCUCGUCCCUUGACGGUAUCUAACCAGAAAGCCAUGGCUAACUACGUGCCAGCAGCCGCGGUAAUACGUAGAUGGCAAGCGUUGUCCGGAUUUAUUGGGCGUAAAGCGAGUGCAGGCGGUUCUUUAAGUCUGAUGUGAAAGCCCCUGGCUUAACCAGGGAGGGUCAUUGGAAACUGGAGGACUUGAGUGCAGAAGAGGAAAGUGGAAUUCCAUGUGUAGCGGUGAAAUGCGUAGAUAUAUGGAGGAACACCAGUGGCGAAGGCGACUUUCUGGUCUGUAACUGACGCUGAGACUCGAAAGCAUGGGGAGCAAACAGGAUUAGAAACCCUAGUAGUCC